UGGGAUUGGUACCACUGCAUUUGUGG
Molecule: unclassified non-coding RNA, 26 nt
Filed under: Mus musculus (house mouse)
Lineage: Eukaryota; Metazoa; Chordata; Mammalia; Rodentia; Muridae
Description: piRNA piR-mmu-68275633
Source: RNAcentral